CGGGGUGAGUAACACGUGGGUAACCUGCCCCGGAAGUGGGGGAAUACCUCGGGGAAACUCGAGCUAAUACCGCAUAACAUCUUUAGGACGAUGGUCCUGACGAUCAAAGCGGGGUCGCAAGAUCUCGCGCUACCGGAUGGGCCCGCGCCUGAUUAGCUAGUUGGUGGGGUAACGGCUCACCAAGGCUUCGAUCAGUAACCGGCCUGAGAGGGCGAUCGGUCACACCGGAACUGAGACACGGUCCGG
RNAcentral lists this ribosomal RNA (246 nucleotides) under uncultured bacterium. RNAcentral's name for it is "partial 16S ribosomal RNA". It matches the Rfam family "Bacterial small subunit ribosomal RNA", at positions 104 to 334 of the family's 1533-position model. The record is from RNAcentral.